Molecule: ribosomal RNA, 465 nt
Filed under: uncultured bacterium
Lineage: Bacteria
Description: bacterial SSU rRNA
Rfam family: Bacterial small subunit ribosomal RNA
Source: RNAcentral
GCCCAGACUCCUACGGGAGGCAGCAGUGAGGAAUAUUGGUCAAUGGUCGGGAGACUGAACCAGCCAAGCCGCGUGAGGGAUGAAGGUACAGAGUAUCGUAAACCUCUUUUGUCAGGGAACAAAGGCGGGGACGUGUCCCCGGAUGAGUGUACCUGAAGAAAAAGCAUCGGCUAACUCCGUGCCAGCAGCCGCGGUAAUACGGAGGAUGCGAGCGUUAUCCGGAUUUAUUGGGUUUAAAGGGUGCGUAGGCGGAAUGCCAAGUCAGCGGUAAAAUCGCGGGGCCCAACCUCGCUCCGCCGUUGAAACUGGCGUUCUCGAGUUGGAGAGAAGUAUGCGGAAUGCGCGGUGUAGCGGUGAAAUGCAUAGAUAUCGCGCAGAACUCCGAUUGCGAAGGCAGCAUGCCGGCUCCACACUGACGCUGAGGCACGAAAGCGUGGGUAUCGAACAGGAUUAGAUACCCGGGUA